RNAcentral lists this ribosomal RNA (391 nucleotides) under Methylobacterium sp. 1722a. Its description in RNAcentral is "bacterial SSU rRNA". It matches the Rfam family "Bacterial small subunit ribosomal RNA", at positions 1108 to 1498 of the family's 1533-position model. The record is from RNAcentral. Lineage: Bacteria; Pseudomonadati; Pseudomonadota; Alphaproteobacteria; Hyphomicrobiales; Methylobacteriaceae.
UCCUCAGUUGCCAUCAUUCAGUUGGGCACUCUGGGGAGACUGCCGGUGAUAAGCCGCGAGGAAGGUGUGGAUGACGUCAAGUCCUCAUGGCCCUUACGGGAUGGGCUACACACGUGCUACAAUGGCGGUGACAGUGGGACGCGAACCCGCGAGGGCAAGCAAAUCUCCAAAAGCCGUCUCAGUUCGGAUUGCACUCUGCAACUCGAGUGCAUGAAGGCGGAAUCGCUAGUAAUCGUGGAUCAGCAUGCCACGGUGAAUACGUUCCCGGGCCUUGUACACACCGCCCGUCACACCAUGGGAGUUGGUCUUACCCGACGGCGCUGCGCCGACCCGCAAGGGGAGCAGGCGACCACGGUAGGGUCAGCGACUGGGGUGAAAUCGUAACAAGGUA